AAAUGCGAUAAGUAAUGUGAAUUGCAGAAUUCAGUGAAUCAUCGAAUCUUUGAACGCACGUUGCGCCCGCCAGUAUUCUGGCGGGCAUGCCUGUUCGAGCGUCAUUACAACCCUCAGGCCCCCGGGCCUGGCGUUGGGGAUCGGCGGAAGCCCCCUGCGGGCACAACGCCGUCCCCCAAAUACAGUGGCGGUCCCGCCGCAGCUUCCAUUGCGUAGUAGCUAACACCUCGCAACUGGAGAGCGGCGCGGCCACGCCGUAAAACACCCAACUUCUGAAUGUUGACCUCGAAUCAGGUAGGAAUACCCGCUGAACUUAAGC
Molecule: unclassified non-coding RNA, 319 nt
Filed under: plant metagenome
Description: partial contains 5.8S ribosomal RNA, internal transcribed spacer 2, and large subunit ribosomal RNA
Rfam family: 5.8S ribosomal RNA (bases 1-104)
Source: RNAcentral